UGAGUAGGACCAUGGUGCAGAUUCUUCUGCCCAUGAAAUUUUGUAAAGCAGUAGUUUUAGAAAUGAGAAAGAUGAGAGAUAGUAGAGAUGUCACUUCCUUUUAAGUCGGACUUGACAAUGAGGGAAAACAAUUCCUUGUUUUUUCUUAACCAUUUUGUAUAGUAGUAGUAGUAGAAAACUUGGAUUUUCUGCUUGUAAAGUUAGUUAAAAUGACUAACCUCCUGUCAAAUGAAUAUAGCCAAUUUUUAUUCAAGCAAAUUUUUUCAAGUCACUUGAUUGGAAAGACUCAAAAGCCUUUUAUAUGUUCAUGUUUCCUACUUCAGUAGACGAAUGUGCCUGACAUUUUGCAUAAAUGUGCUGCUGGCUCUAUUGACACCAACAAUUAAGUACUACUAUAGCUAUUUACAGCUCUUCGACCCUCCUUUGUGUGUCUGUUAAAACUCCUAAAAGUUUAAAAUCUCCAGAUGCUUUCUUUUGUGUUUUCUGUCUCAAUUUCUAAAUUCAGCAACCGAUGAUUUCUCUCAGAGAAGCAAGGGAAAUGUUUGUUGCUCUACAAAGAUGAGAAAUUCUGUUUUAUUGAGCGAUAGGCCAUAGUUUCGGUGCUCCAUAAUUUGUCCAAACUUUAGGCUACUUUACUCUUCAAUUCCACUAAGCCUAUCAGAGACCAUGUCUUGUAAGUCUAGAGAAAUGCACUAUUCAAAGUCUUUUUGAAUCAUUGCAACUUACUAAACUACUUGUUCUUGGCAGGUGGUUUGUCUUGCAAUCUUUCCAGAUAUUAUUACUUAUUUACGUCCGAGUUAUAAGGUAAUUGAAAUUACACAUGUAAAUAUCUUUACAUAUUUGUGAGCAUGUCACUAUCACUUAAGACCUGCGCUCCGGUAUUAUGGCCUGAGGAAAACUUGUAGGAUCCAUUUGUACAUUUGGAUAUGAAUGACCUAUUACCAGAAACAAUAAUCAAAGUGGUGGCCAAUUAGGGUGGCGUAGGAUUAACCAUUGAGCUUUGUUAUUACUUUCUAAUUGGUUGUCGUAAUUUGCAGCUUCCUUUCAAUCUAUACUGAUCAAGCAUUAACGUUAACUGCGAAGGAAGUCUGGAAAAGGAACAGUUAAUGAUUUCACUUCAUUUAAACUCUUUACAAUUAAUUUUUCAUGUCAUUCAGACUUGUGUUGUUUUGAUUCAUACGUCUCUAAGUUUUCGAUAGACAAAGUCAAUUGCCUGCAAUAAAAUAAUAGUGCUACUCCAAGAUGAGAAUGUUAAAGCUCUAUUCCAUCUCUAAUGAAACAAAUUUCAGUUGCUUAUUUUUCUUCUGCUAUACAAUCUGUUUUGAGCUAUCAUUUACAAAAUAUUGCCAUUUCAUGUCUCAAUAAACAAGAAUCUGUUGAUUUCCACUUUCUUGGUGAAAGGAAGAAGUUGAACAGCAACAUGAAGGAAUUGAGAGGAGCAAUGCUUUGUGAAGAUCUCCAGCAGUUACACCUUUCUUGAUCAGUGACAAGAUGUAGUCCAUGAACGCCGAAUCACAGGGUAAUGUAAUAGGACCACCACUUGGUAGUCCAAACUCUUCUUCGGACAUGCUUAAAAGUUGCCUAAUGACCUCAUUUUCAAGGUAAACCAAGGGAAUGACAAAAUGUGCUUGAUCAUCUGUAUAUACUACAAAAUGACCCUUUUCAACAAUAGAGGUUGAGGAGGUACUACAACUGUCUGCAUCACUACUAUUUCUUGGAAGUGAAAUCCUCUUCCUCUGCUUGACCGCGAACUUUUGCCAUUUCCUUGCCAUUUUGAUGAGCUUCUUAGUACUGAGCAUUGUCUUUCUUUCCAUUUUUCUUUUUCUUGAAAGUUAGGAAGCAAGAAAGUAAACAAGAAAUUUAGAAACUUUUGAUGGCUGAAAAAAUAAUUCUUUUACUUGAUGAUGAAAAAUGUCCAUAGAAAAGGGGGUUAUAUUUAUACAAGAGGUUGUAGACAGGCUUUGAGUUGGAGAUGAAGUUUUGUUACUAACAACCAAAGGCAAAGCCAUGUGCUGAUGCCUGUUGGCUAUGUCGCUAUGGGGCCUUAAAUUUUUGGAUAGAGCUAAGUUUCUUCUUUCUUUACUUUGUCAACGGGGGCAUAUUAGUAAUGAUAUCAGCUCAUACUUGGUUACUUCUCACCGAUGCCAAUAAUUUGAAACCAUUAGAUGAUCAAUUGCUGGUUAGAAGCAAAACCAUGUGCUUCUACCUUCUUGGUCAUGUAGAUAGGGGACCUUUGAAUUCUCAUCUUGGCUAGUUUUGCUAUAAAAGAACAAAUGCAUUAAAGCUGAGUUUAGAGGAAGGACUCUGUAGGAAUAGUUUAGGUUAAUUGGAGUAUGAGAAACCUGCUGGCUGCUGUUAUUCCACAAAUAUGGGACCUACUGCAUUGUGGAUAUCGCUUGUUGUCUAAUUUUUCAGUUCUACUGUAGUAUAAGAACAAACACAGCCAAGCUUGAGUAGGACUAAUAAAAUGUAACAGACAUCAUGAAAGGGGCCUAAGAAUUGUGGUAUCUGGUUAUCCUUCUUUGCUUAGUCUGUGUCACCAUAUCUUUAAGCCAAGUGGUCCAGAAUUAUGUCAUGUCAUGUUAUGUUUCUUUCUCUUGUGGUAUUUCUGUUGCUAUUCCUAUCUGGCAUUCUUUGUCACCUCACCUUUAAACCAGGUGGUCCUGGACUAAAUCAUCAAAUUUAUCCAUUCUUGUGGAUGUUAUUUUAAGGGUGUCUUUUUCUGCUCCAAAUCAUAACAAGCAGUAGGGCCUAGUGUUGUUGUUCAACAAAAUUUAUUGUCUAAGUUAUUUGACAAUAACAGUGUAGGUAAAACCAUGUGAAACUUCAUGUGCCAUUGUCUCUCACAAGUAGCCGCCAAUUUCUCUUAACCACUAAACAUUUGGAUAUGGAAAUUGUCAUAAACUUAUUAUAUAUAAUCAGACCCAAACAUUUCAGCAGAACACAAGUACCCUGACAUUCAAAAAAAAUUCCAUUUUUGUCCAAUUCUCAAAGUUCUUGUUCUUUAUUUUCCUUCAUCAUUUACAGUUACAUCAUAUUCCUUGAGACAAUGGGUAUCAAAGUGACUCCAUUUAUUCAGGCUAGUCGAAUCCUAAGGAGGCCUUCAACAACUGGAGGUGUUCUCAAAGGACAUUGCGCAGUAUAUGCAGGAGAGAGCCAGAAGAAGCGAUUCGUCAUGCCAAUAUCAUACCUGAGCCAGCCUUUAUUUCAAGACUUGUUAGCUCAAGCUGAGGAAGAGUUUGGAUUUGAUCAUUCAAUGGGCGGUCUCACAAUAGCUUGCAAAGAGGAUGUGUUCAUUGAUCUCACCUCUCGCUUGAGGAGAUUAUGAGUAGGACCAUGGUGCAGAUUCUUCUGUCCGUGAAAUUUUGUAAAGCAGUAGUUUUAGAAAUGAGAAAGAUGAGAGAGAGUAGAGAUGUCACCUCCAUUUAAGUGGUACUUGACAAUGAGGGAAACAAAUUCCUUGUUUUUUCUUAACCAUUUUGUAUAGUAGUAGUAGUAGAAAACUUGGAUUUUCUGCUUGUAAAGUUAGUUAAAAUGACUAACCUCCUGUCAAAUGAAUAUAGCCAAUUUUUAUGCAAGCAAAUUUUUUUAAGUCACUUGAUUGGAAGACUCAUAACCUUUUAUAUGUUCAUGUUUCCUACUUCAGUAGAC
Molecule: long non-coding RNA, 3651 nt
Filed under: Nicotiana tabacum (common tobacco)
Lineage: Eukaryota; Viridiplantae; Streptophyta; Magnoliopsida; Solanales; Solanaceae
Description: long non-coding RNA (NTAB_LNC019321)
Source: RNAcentral